This 74-nucleotide transfer RNA is filed under the name Podarcis lilfordi (Lilford's wall lizard). RNAcentral's name for it is "tRNA.Ala". Lineage: Eukaryota; Metazoa; Chordata; Lepidosauria; Squamata; Lacertidae. The record is from RNAcentral.
GGAGGACUGUGGCUCAGAAGUAGAGCAUUGACUUUGCAUGCAGAAGGUCCCAGGUUCAAUCCCUGGAUCCUCCA